GAUGAACGCCGGCGGUGUGCCUAAUAACAUGCAAGUACGUACGCACUGGCCCAACUGAUUGAUGGUGCUUGCACCUGAUUGAUGAUGGAUCACCAGUGAGUGGCGGACGGGUGAGUAACACGUAGGUAACCUGCCCCGGAGCGGGGGAUAACAUUUGGAAACAGAUGCUAAUACCGCACAACAACAAAAGCCACAUGGCCUUUGUUUAAAAAUGGCUUUGGCUAUCACUCUGGGAUGGACCUGCGGUGCAUUAGCUAGUUGGUAAGGUAACGGCUUACCAAGGCGAUGAUGCAUAGCCGAGUUGAGAGACUGAUCGGCCACAUGGAACUGAGACACGGUCCAUGCUCCUACGGGAGGCAGCAGUAGGGAAUCUUCCACAAUGGG
RNAcentral lists this ribosomal RNA (384 nucleotides) under uncultured Lactobacillus sp. RNAcentral describes it as "bacterial SSU rRNA". It matches the Rfam family "Bacterial small subunit ribosomal RNA", at positions 28 to 375 of the family's 1533-position model. Lineage: Bacteria; Bacillati; Bacillota; Bacilli; Lactobacillales; Lactobacillaceae. The record is from RNAcentral.